RNAcentral lists this long non-coding RNA (1335 nucleotides) under Homo sapiens (human). RNAcentral describes it as "HSALNT0261583". Lineage: Eukaryota; Metazoa; Chordata; Mammalia; Primates; Hominidae. The record is from RNAcentral.
CUUGGGGGGUGUGUGGGAUUAUGAGAGUGUCUGAGAAUUGAGUUUUAGGUUAAGUAGGGGUGAUUUGGGACAACUCUAAGGGUGUGACUGGGGGAUGACUUUAGGGGUCCCUGGGGGUGACCUUGUGAGUGAGAUUGGAGUUUCUUUGGGGUUUCUAGGAGGUGACUUUGGGGAGGUGAGUAGGGGUGAUUUUGAGGAUGUGCCAGACUUUGGGGUUGUCUGUUGGGCUGCUUGUGGGUAUCAGCAGAGAUGACUUUGGAGGGUGACCAAGAGGGGUAUCUGGGGUUGACUCUGGGGCCCCUGUCCCCCUCUCCCCAGUUCUCAUCCAUAUGAGCAAGGGCUUCAUGUUACUGGCCGUGGCCCUGUGCUGAGUCCUCCUCCCGCCCAUGGCCCUCUCCUCCUGGCCAGUGGUCCUCCGCCUGAACAUGGCCGACUUUGUCUUCAGUUUCCUCUGCCUCGGCAUUGGGCUCCUGAUUUCUCUUCAGCCUGACGCUCUUUUCAGUUAACGGCAAGGCGGUGCACCCAAGUCCGGUGGUGUCCUACCUGGUGACCUCCUACCUGUGCUGGGACGCCAGCGACUUGAUGCUGCACUCCGCAGGGCGCAGCGAGGCGGACAUCCAAACAGCGGAACUCAGACGCUGACUCCGAGCGCACCCCGGGCCUUCCCAUUUCAUACACCCUCGAGGAUGAGACCCAAGCACCUCCAAGGAAUAGCACCCGAGGUCUUCAGGACACCGACCGGUAGCCAUGGCCAGAUGCCCGGCCAACCCCUUCAGCGUGGCCACGCCCUGGAUAUUCGACCUCCCCUGAGGCCCCACCCCCUGAUAUCAGGCCACGCCCUCCGAGGGGACCGGUGGCAAACUCCAGCCCUCGCUCUAGGGCCCGCCCUUUGCGGCUUUGUCCCUGCCCACUGGGUCCUCACAGUACCUCCACCCCAGAGGCCCAGCAUCCCCUCCCGUUCUGCAGACACUUGUCCAGCGUCCCGCUGAGCUCGGCAGUGUGGCUAGUUUGUGUGGCCCUGCCCCUGGUGCCCAGCCAGGGUGGUCUGCAUGGAACUUCUUUCCCGGAGUUCCGGCCUCAGCUCCGAUGUCCACCCUUGUCCCCAGGUGGACACAGCACCGCCCAGCAUUUGGUGCAACUCCACCCUUCUGCAGAACGGGCCCCUCCCUGGGAAGGCAUGGCUUGCAAUAACAUCCCUCUGUACCUUUUCUGGCUUCCCCGCCACAAUAAAACCUCUCAGCCUCAGACCUUCCAUUGCCCCCCACCUCCCCACCAGGGCAGGGUCCAUCCUAGUGUGAGUGAACUGUUCUGGCGUCCCUGACUUGCCCUUUGGGA